UCAUAUAAAUAGGCUAUCACCGGUUCCCGUGCGAUCAUCGAAGUUAAGCAACGUCGAGCUUGGUCAGUACCUGGCGGGUGACCGCUAGGGAAUAACAGGCGCUGUAAG
This is a non-coding RNA of Acanthosepion pharaonis, 108 nucleotides long. The record is from the annotation of a GenBank genome assembly. NCBI's taxonomy places the organism in Eukaryota, Metazoa, Mollusca, Cephalopoda, Sepiida, Sepiidae.